UACGAAGGGGGCUAGCGUUGCUCGGAAUCACUGGGCGUAAAGCGCACGUAGGCGGAUCUUUAAGUCAGGGGUGAAAUCCUGAAGCUCAACUCCAGAACUGCCUUUGAUACUGGGGAUCUCGAGUCCGGGAGAGGUGAGUGGAACUGCGAGUGUAGAGGUGAAAUUCGUAGAUAUUCGCAAGAACACCAGUGGCGAAGGCGACUGCCUGGCCUGUUCUUGACGCUGAGGCGCGAAAGCUAGGGGAGCAAACGGG
Molecule: ribosomal RNA, 253 nt
Filed under: uncultured bacterium
Lineage: Bacteria
Description: partial 16S ribosomal RNA
Rfam family: Bacterial small subunit ribosomal RNA
Source: RNAcentral